Molecule: ribosomal RNA, 301 nt
Filed under: uncultured bacterium
Lineage: Bacteria
Description: partial 16S ribosomal RNA
Rfam family: Bacterial small subunit ribosomal RNA
Source: RNAcentral
CAGUAGCCGCGGUAAUACGUAGGGUGCGAGCGUUAAUCGGAAUUACUGGGCGUAAAGCGUGCGCAGGCGGUUUGUUAAGACAGAUGUGAAAUCCCCGGGCUUAACCUGGGAACUGCAUUUGUGACUGGCCGGCUAGAGUAUGGCAGAGGGGGGUAGAAUUCCACGUGUAGCAGUGAAAUGCGUAGAGAUGUGGAGGAAUACCGAUGGCGAAGGCAGCCCCCUGGGCCAAUACUGACGCUCAUGCACGAAAGCGUGGGGAGCAAACAGGAUUAGAUACCCGUGUAGUCCCUGUCUCUUAUAC